AGACAGGCUACCACCUUCAGCUCUUACCACUGUCCCAUGUCACAAACAGAAACAGAGCCUUCCAAAGGAUGAGAAUCUGGGCCUGAAACUCCUUCCUGGAAGUCCUUGGGCACUGCUGACUGAAGUUCCUCCAAACUGUUGUAAGAGAACAAGCUUUAUCCAGGCACAGGAAAACUGAACAAAGGAGGUUUCAACCUUUCUUUCUGAGCCCUGACUUCCUAAAUAGCAUCCUGUCAGGAUGAAGUUCCUGUUUCCACUGCUUCAGUCUCUUCUGCAAACCGAGGUGUCUGCCUCUGGUCCCACAACACCCCUCCUACGGCAAUGUAAAAGGAAGUGCUGAUUUGAUGAGCUUCAUCUACACCUAGGUCUAUGGAAACCUGUGCUUGACUGAAACAGAUAUACCCAGAACAUGUGAGCUGAUUGUGAGAGUA
Molecule: long non-coding RNA, 431 nt
Organism: Mastomys coucha (southern multimammate mouse)
Lineage: Eukaryota; Metazoa; Chordata; Mammalia; Rodentia; Muridae
Exons: 3
Source: RefSeq, a predicted model, not a curated record